GGGUAUAGCUCAGUGAUAGAGUGUGUGCUUAGCAUGCACAAGGUCCUAGGUUCAAUCCCCAGUAUCUCCA
Molecule: transfer RNA, 70 nt
Filed under: Camelus bactrianus (Bactrian camel)
Lineage: Eukaryota; Metazoa; Chordata; Mammalia; Artiodactyla; Camelidae
Also listed under: 2 other names
Rfam family: tRNA
About the family: Transfer RNA (tRNA) molecules are approximately 80 nucleotides in length. Their secondary structure includes four short double-helical elements and three loops (D, anti-codon, and T loops).
Source: Rfam by way of RNAcentral